RNAcentral lists this ribosomal RNA (367 nucleotides) under uncultured bacterium. RNAcentral's name for it is "bacterial SSU rRNA". It matches the Rfam family "Bacterial small subunit ribosomal RNA", at positions 55 to 423 of the family's 1533-position model. The record is from RNAcentral.
AUGCGAGUCGAACGGCAGCACAGGAGCUUGCUCCUGGUGGCGAGUGGCGAACGGGUGAGUAAAAUAUCGGAACGUAUCCAAUAAUGGGGGAUAACUAAGCGAAAGCUUGGCUAAUACCGCAUACGCCCUGAGGGGAAAGCUAGGGAUCUUCGGACCUGGCGUUGAUGGAGCGGCCGAUAUCUGAUUAGCUAGUUGGUGGGGUAAAGGCCCACCAAGGCGACGAUCAGUAGCUGGUCUGAGAGGACGACCAGCCACACUGGAACUGAGACACGGUCCAGACUCCUACGGGAGGCAGCAGUGGGGAAUUUUGGACAAUGGGCGCAAGCCUGAUCCAGCCAUUCCGCGUGAGUGAAGAAGGCCUUCGGGU